CUACGGGACGCUGCAGUGAGGAAUAUUGCACAAUGGGGGGAACCCUGAUGCAGCAACGCCGCGUGGAGGAUGACGCAUUUCGGUGUGUAAACUUCUUUUAUAUGUCAAGAAAAUGACGGUAGCAUAUGAAUAAGCACCGGCUAACUCCGUGCCAGCAGCCGCGGUAAUACGGAGGGUGCAAGCGUUACUCGGAAUCACUGGGCGUAAAGGACGCGUAGGCGGGUUGGAAAGUCAGGUGUGAAAUCCUACAGCUUAACUGUAGAACUGCACUUGAAACUUCUAAUCUAGAGUAUGGGAGGGGGAGAUGGAAUUAGUGGUGUAGGGGUAAAAUCCGUAGGUAUCACUAGGAAUACCUAAAGCGAAGGCGAUCUCCUGGAACAUUACUGACGCUAAGGCGUGAAAGCGUGGGGAGCAAACAGGAUUAGAUACCCGUGUAGUC
RNAcentral lists this ribosomal RNA (439 nucleotides) under uncultured bacterium. RNAcentral describes it as "partial 16S ribosomal RNA". It matches the Rfam family "Bacterial small subunit ribosomal RNA", at positions 339 to 795 of the family's 1533-position model. The record is from RNAcentral.